UUCGAAUUUUGGUGGAUUAGUGGCGAACGGGUGAGUAACACGUUGGUGACCAACCCCGAGGAGGGGGACAACUGUGGGAAACUACAGCUAAUACCCCGGAUGCUCAGAUGUUUAGAAAGUCUGAGUUAAAGCUCCGGUGCCUCGGGACGGGCCUGCGGGCUAUCAGCUUGUUGGUGGGGUAAUGGCCUACCAAGGCGAAGACGGCUAGGGGGCGUGAGAGCGUGGCCCCCCACAAUGGAACUGAGACACGGUCCAUACUCCUACGGGAGGCAGCAGUGAGGAAUAUCGCGCAAUGGGGGAAACCCUGACGCAGCAACGCCGCGUGGGUGAUGAAGGCUUUCGGGUCGUAAAACCCUUUUCUGGGGGACGAAACCAGACGGUACCCCAGGAAUAAGUCCCGGCUAACUACGUGCCAGCAGCCGCGGUAAAACGUAGGGGGCGAGCGUUAUCCGGAAUUAUUGGGCGUAAAGCGCACGUAGGCGGCAUGGUAAGUUGGACGUGAAAGCUCUCGGCUUAACUGAGAGAGGUCGUUCAAAACUGCGAUGCUUGAGACUAGAAGAGGAGAGCGGAAUUCCCGGUGUAGUGGUGGAAUGCGUAGAUAUCGGGAGGAACACCAGUGGCGAAAGCGGCUCUCUGGUCUACGUCUGACGCUGAGGUGCGAAAGCGUGGGGAGCGAACGGGAUUAGAUACCCCGGUAGUCCACGCUGUAAACGAUGGAUACUAGGUGUAGGAGGCUUUUAACCCCUUCUGUGCCGAAUCUAACGCGUUAAGUAUCCCGCCUGGGGA
This 786-nucleotide ribosomal RNA is filed under the name uncultured organism. RNAcentral describes it as "bacterial SSU rRNA". It matches the Rfam family "Bacterial small subunit ribosomal RNA", at positions 78 to 879 of the family's 1533-position model. The record is from RNAcentral.